Molecule: RNA transcript, 2048 nt
Organism: Nomascus leucogenys (northern white-cheeked gibbon)
Lineage: Eukaryota; Metazoa; Chordata; Mammalia; Primates; Hylobatidae
Gene name: 60S ribosomal protein L7 pseudogene
Exons: 1
Source: RefSeq, a predicted model, not a curated record
ACCUGCCUCGGCCUUCCAAAGUGCUGGAAUUACAGGCAUGAGCCACCGUGCCCAGCCCCACCUGUUUUUAAUUUAAGUAGUUGAUGCUGAAUAUUAAAGUUGUUAGGUAAACUUUAUCUAUAUAUUAGCUGGAGAAACAAAUAGGGCAGAAUCACUAAACAUGGAUGUUUAAUAUUUACUUGCUAAACAUGUAAAUACUUACUUCAUCAUAAUAUGACCAUGGAAAUAAAUUGUUAUCAACCUGCUUUGGGUUCCUAGGAAUCUAAGCCAGCAGACAGAAAUUCAACCUCUAGAAAGGGAAGUAGGUGUCUGUCCUGCCUUCAUGCUCAAGCAAAGGGUCCCAUAAAGAGAACUUUGUGAGGUUAUUUUCCUCCAUCAACCUAUCUUUAAGGAGGACCAUCCUAAACCUUUCCAGCAACUGCCAACUCUCCCACUUACAUUAAGACUCUGGAUAAGCUACGUAAGUUCUCUGAACUUCAUAAUUAUUGUAUUAAAAUUGAUAUAGAAAUGUCUACCUUGUACUUUGCUGUGAGGUAUAGUUAUAGCACAUUUGAGUAGUGCUCUGUUGUUUUAAAAAUGCUUUUGUUCUCUUUUUCCGGCUGGAACCAUGGAGGGUGUAGAAGAGAAGAAGAAGGUUCCUGCUGUGCCAGAAACCCUUAAGAAAAAGCAAAGGAAUUUCGCAGAGCUGAAGAUCAAGCGCCUAAGAAAGAAAUUUGCCCCAAAGAUGCUUCGAAAGGCAAGGAGGAAGCUUAUCUAUGAAAAAGCAAAGCACUAUCACAAGGAAUAUAGGCAGAUGUACAGAACUGAAAUUCGAAUGGCGAGGAUGGCAAGAAAAGCUGGCAACUUCUAUGUACCUGCAGAACCCAAACUGGCGUUUGUCAUCAGAAUCAGAGGUAUCAAUGGCGUGAGCCCAAAGGUUCGAAAGGUGUUGCAGCUUCUUCACCUUCGUCAAAUCUUCAAUGGAACCUUUGUGAAGCUCAACAAGGCUUCGAUUAACAUGCUGAGGAUUGUAGAGCCAUAUAUUGCAUGGGGGUACCCCAAUCUGAAGUCAGUAAAUGAACUAAUCUACAAGCGUGGUUAUGGCAAAAUCAAUAAGAAGUGAAUUGCUUUGACAGAUAAUGCUUUGAUCGCUCAAUCUCUUGAUAAAUACGGCAUCAUCUGCAUGCAGGAUCUGAUUCAUGAGAUCUAUACUGUUGGAAAAUGCUUCAAAGAGGCAAAUAACUUCCUGUGGCCCUUCAAAUCGUCUUCUCCACGAGGUGGAAUGAAGAAAAAGACCACUCAUUUUGUAGAAAGUGGAGAUGCUGGCAACAGGGAGGACCAGAUCAACAGGCUUAUUAGAAGAAUGAACUAAGGUGUCUACCAUGAUUAUUUUUCUAAGCUGGUUGGUUAAUAAACAGUAUCUGCUCUCAAAUUGAAAAAAAAAAUGCUUUUGUUUAUGUAUUAAUUCAUCUGGAAGGUCACGGAUUCAAGUUGCCCUCAGUAAUUAUCAUAUCUUGAAUGAAUACUGCUAGUCCUUUUCAUUUUCCAAAUAACAUCUCUUUAUUCCUAUACUUUUAAAAAACAUAUCAUGAAUUCAUACUGAUUUUUUCAAUUCAAAUGUAAGAGAGUUCAAUAAUUCUAAGGGAUUCUUUAUAAAUUUGAGGUAAAUUUUACAUGCAAUUAAAUGCACAAAUAUCAAGUGCUCUAUUUGAUGAUGAGUUUGACAAAUGCAUACACCCAUAAAAUAAGAUUUUUAUUUUUUAAUUAAUACACUUUAUUUUUUAAGAGAAGUUUUAGAUUCACAGCAAAAUUGAGCAGAAAAUACAGAGGAUUCCCUCUGUCUCUAUGCACACACAAUAUCCCCCACCUAUCAACAUUCGGCACCAGUGUUGUACGCUUGUUAUAAUCAAUGAGCCCACAUUGCCACAUCAUUAUCACCCAAAGUCCACAGUUUACAUUAGGAUUCAUUCUUGGUGUUUACAUUCUAUGAGUUUGGACAAAUGUGUAAUAAUGACAUGUAUGCACCAUUGUAGUAUUUUUCAGAACAGUUUCACUGCCUUAAAAAUCCU